GAAAUUAUAUAAAGUGUGUUUUAAGCAAGAUAAAUUUAUUAUUUUUAUUUUUAAAUCAUUACUAAUUGAUAAAGAAUGUUUAAUUAGUUUUUUUUAGUAUUCGAGUGCAUUGUACAGAUACGAAUCUAUAUCAUAUACCUUUUCCAGUUAGUCUACUACAAGUAAUCCACACAGUGCGGCAAAACACUAUUAAAAUAAAAAUUUAUAAAUAAUAAAAUAUCAAUAAAGUUAAAGUAAAAUAUUAGCAAAGAAUAAAAUAUCAGGUUAACAAUGAGUGUGAAGAAGUAUAGCUAAAAAUGAUUAACAUAAAUUAUUUAAAUCGACAAACAAUAUGAAAUGAAAACAGCAGCGAAUAAAAGGUAAAUAGAAGUGAAGGUAGGAAUUACCUACAACAAUAUUUCUAGAAUUUACUUUUCAGAUUACUAAGGGGCUGUUUGGUUCACCGUAAAACCGUGUGUUAGGGCCAAUAAUAAAAUGCCAAGUGGCAUAUUGGUGCACAGUUCAGCCAGGACCUUUGGAGAUCAAGAUUAAACAGGUUUCAUGGUGCGCCUAGGAGUUAUGGCGGAUUAAUAGCAUAACUGCAAGCGGUUAUGUGCAGUUUUCAUCGGCUUGUAGUGGCCCGCAAAAAUAGGAAACUUUGCCGAUCAUGAAGCAAUAACUGAACAGAAAGGGCGGACUAUAAAUAGGCAAAACACGCCCAAAAAGGGGGUCUUUUCUCCCAGAACAGAAGACCACUUUUAUUUUCUCUGCAUUUUCUUCGUAUUUCUAUGAGUAGUCUAAUUGUAAUCUUUUUCUUUCCCGCAUCUACUGUUUUCCUUAUGAGUAGUACUAAGUUAGAUUACUGGAGUCUGUAUGCCUUAAAGGCACACUCGCUUUUGUACAAGUUUUCAGACUUAAUUACAGUAUAUAAAGGCAUUCGGCUCUUUUAGCCGACCGAAAUUACUGUGCAUUUCAGUCAUUCGGCUCAUUCAACCGAACCCGUUCUGCAGUAAAGAUUUUCGGACUCGGCUGAUAUGAUCCCUCAUCAGCCGAAUCUCUUGAUCCGUCGUAGGGCG
Molecule: long non-coding RNA, 1055 nt
Filed under: Ananas comosus (pineapple)
Lineage: Eukaryota; Viridiplantae; Streptophyta; Magnoliopsida; Poales; Bromeliaceae
Description: long non-coding RNA (ACOM_LNC001997)
Source: RNAcentral